CAGUAGCCGCGGGAAUACAGAGGGUGCGAGCGUUAAUCGGAUUUACUGGGCGUAAAGCGUGCGUAGGCGGCUUCUUAAGUCGGAUGUGAAAUCCCUGAGCUUAACUUAGGAAUUGCAUUCGAUACUGGGAAGCUAGAGUAUGGGAGAGGAUGGUAGAAUUCCAGGUGUAGCGGUGAAAUGCGUAGAGAUCUGGAGGAAUACCGAUGGCGAAGGCAGCCAUCUGGCCUAACACUGACGCUGAGGUACGAAAGCAUGGGGAGCAAACAGGAUUAGAUACCCGUGUAGUCCCUGUCUCUUAUAC
This 301-nucleotide ribosomal RNA is filed under the name uncultured bacterium. RNAcentral describes it as "partial 16S ribosomal RNA". It matches the Rfam family "Bacterial small subunit ribosomal RNA", at positions 509 to 807 of the family's 1533-position model. The record is from RNAcentral.